RNAcentral lists this ribosomal RNA (469 nucleotides) under uncultured microorganism. RNAcentral describes it as "bacterial SSU rRNA". It matches the Rfam family "Archaeal small subunit ribosomal RNA", at positions 330 to 805 of the family's 1478-position model. The record is from RNAcentral.
GUGCAGCAGGCGCGAAUCCUCCACAAUGCACGAAGUGUGAUGGGGUUACCCUGAGUGCCAUCCGAUGAGGAUGGCUUUCACCAGUGUAAGGCGCUGGUGGAAUAAGGGGAGGGCAAGGCUGGUGCCAGCCGCCGCGGUAAAACCAGCUCCUCGAGUGGUCGGGAUGAUUAUUGGGCCUAAAGCGUCCGUAGCCGGUCUGGUAAGUCCCCGGUUAAAUCCGGCAGCCUAACUGUCGGCCUGCUGGGGAUACUGCUAGACUUGGGGGUGGGAUAGGCUAAAGGUACUCCCAGGGUAGGGGUGAAAUCCUAUAAUCCUGGGGGACCACCAGUGGCGAAGGCGUUUAGCUGGAACACGCCCGACGGUGAGGGACGAAAAGCCAGGGGAGCAAAACCAAGCUCCAAAAACGUUUUGGCUUGGGCUUAAACCGGAUUAGAUACCCGUGUAGUCCCUGAGACUACCAAGGCACACA